GGCCCGGGUCUAUAGAGUUUGAUCCUCGGCUCAGAGAUGCUGUGCGUAGGCUUAGCUUCCUAUAGACGUUAGCGGCGGACGGGUGAGUAACACGUGGGCAACCUGCCUGUAAGACUGGGAUAACUUCGGGAAACCGAAGCUAAUACCGGAUAGGAUCUUCUCCUUCAUGGGAGAUGAUUGAAAGAUGGUUUCGGCUAUCACUUACAGAUGGGCCCGCGGUGCAUUAGCUAGUUGGUGAGGUAACGGCUCACCAAGGCAACGAUGCAUAGCCGACCUGAGAGGGUGAUCGGCCACACUGGGACUGAGACACGGCCCAGACUCCUACGGGAGGCAGCAGUAGGGAAUCUUCCGCAAUGGACGAAAGUCUGACGGAGCAACGCCGCGUGAGUGAUGAAGGCUUUCGGGUCGUAAAACUCUGUUGUUAGGGAAGAACAAGUACAAGAGUAACUGCUUGUACCUUGACGGUACCUAACCAGAAAGCCACGGCUAACUACGUGCCAGCAGCCGCGGUAAUACGUAGGUGGCAAGCGUUAUCCGGAAUUAUUGGGCGUAAAGCGCGCGCAGGCGGUUUCUUAAGUCUGAUGUGAAAGCCCACGGCUCAACCGUGGAGGGUCAUUGGAAACUGGGGAACUUGAGUGCAGAAGAGAAAAGCGGAAUUCCACGUGUAGCGGUGAAAUGCGUAGAGAUGUGGAGGAACACCAGUGGCGAAAGCGGCGUUUUGGUCUGUAACUGACGCUGAGGCGCGAAAGCGUGGGGAGCAAACAGGAUUAGAUACCCUGGUAGUCCACGCCGUAAACGAUGAGUGCUAAGUGUUAGAGGGUUUCCGCCCUUUACUGCUGCAGCUAACGCAUUAAGCACUCCGCCUGGGGAGUACGGUCGCAAGACUGAAACUCAAACGAAGUGACGGGAGGCCCGGCACAAGCAGGUGGAGCAUGUAGAUUGAAGUCGAAGCAACGCGAACAACCAUUACCAGGUCGUAGUGAGCAUCCUCUGACAACUCUAAAGAUAGAGCGUGCCCCGUCGGGGGACAGAGUGACAGGUGGUGCAUGGUUGUCGUCAGCUCGUGUCGUGAGAUGUUGGGUUAAGUCCCGCAACGAGCGCAACCCUUGAUCUUAGUUGCCAGCAUUUAGUUGGGCACUCUAAGGUGACUGCCGGUGACAAACCGGAGGAAGGUGGGGAUGACGUCAAAUCAUCAUGCCCCUUAUGACCUGGGCUACACACGUGCUACAAUGGAUGGUACAAAGGGCUGCAAGACCGCGAGGUCAAGCCAAUCCCAUAAAACCAUUCUCAGUUCGGAUUGUAGGCUGCAACUCGCCUACAUGAAGCUGGAAUCGCUAGUAAUCGCGGAUCAGCAUGCCGCGGUGAAUACGUUCCCGGGCCUUGUACACACCGCCCGUCACACCACGAGAGUUUGUAACACCCGAAGUCGGUGGAGUAACCGCAACUUUAGAGUUUGAUCCUGGCUCAGCAUGCGGCUGGAUCACCUCCUAGAGUACGACG
Molecule: ribosomal RNA, 1500 nt
Filed under: Priestia aryabhattai
Lineage: Bacteria; Bacillati; Bacillota; Bacilli; Caryophanales; Bacillaceae
Description: bacterial SSU rRNA
Rfam family: Bacterial small subunit ribosomal RNA
Source: RNAcentral